UGCGAAAUGUCUGGGCACCUUUUGU
Molecule: non-coding RNA, 25 nt
Filed under: Mus musculus (house mouse)
Lineage: Eukaryota; Metazoa; Chordata; Mammalia; Rodentia; Muridae
Source: RNAcentral